Molecule: ribosomal RNA, 494 nt
Filed under: uncultured bacterium
Lineage: Bacteria
Description: partial 16S ribosomal RNA
Rfam family: Bacterial small subunit ribosomal RNA
Source: RNAcentral
ACGAACGCUGGCGGCGUGCCUAAUACAUGCAAGUAGCACGCUGAAGGAGGAGCUUGCUUCUCUGGAUGAGUUGCGAACGGGUGAGUAACGCGUAGGUAACCUGCCUGGUAGCGGGGGAUAACUAUUGGAAACGAUAGCUAAUACCGCAUAAUAGUAGAUGUUGCAUGACAUUUGCUUAAAAGGUGCAAUUGCAUCACUACCAGAUGGACCUGCGUUGUAUUAGCUAGUUGGUGGGGUAACGGCUCACCAAGGCGACGAUACAUAGCCGAUCUGAGAGGGUGAUCGGCCACACUGGGACUGAGACACGGCCCAGACUCCUACGGGAGGCAGCAGUAGGGAAUCUUCGGCAAUGGACGGAAGUCUGACCGAGCAACGCCGCGUGAGUGAAGAAGGUUUUCGGAUCGUAAAGCUCUGUUGUAAGAGAAGAACGAGUGUGAGAGUGGAAAGUUCACACUGUGACGGUAUCUUACCAGAAAGGGACGGCUAACUACGUG